Molecule: long non-coding RNA, 1026 nt
Filed under: Calidris pygmaea (Spoon-billed sandpiper)
Lineage: Eukaryota; Metazoa; Chordata; Aves; Charadriiformes; Scolopacidae
Description: lncRNA (ENSCPGG00000000248.1)
Source: RNAcentral
AGCCCCAAACAGCAUCGGACCCUGCAGAGCGGGAGCAGCAGCCAGUGCCGGGGACAGCCGGUGGGACGGUGACACACGUGGCACAGCCAGCACCGGGACGGUGCCAGCCCGUCGGGGUCCACGAGGAGCCACGGCCGCACGCCCAGAGCUGCGGGAACGCCGGAGAGCCGAGGAGCUCGACCUGCCCAGCUUAUCCCCGGGGGGAAAAAGGCGGGGAGAUGAGGGGGAUUUGGAACACGAUGAUCUCUGUUGGUCCCCUCCAACCCAACCCCUGCUUCGGUGGGACCCCAGUGAGGGGGGGCCGCUGCGGGCAGAGCCCCUGGCACCCCCGGGACCCUCCGGCUGGCAGCGUAGCUGGGCCAGGAGCCACUCAAACUGGCAACCAGGUACGGGCUUUGAGCUGGGGAGGGCGGUUAACCGCGGGAACAGGCCCAACCAGUGCCCUGCCGAGCCCCGCGGCGGGGAAGUGGGACGGCGCCUCGGCCCCACGUCCCCCGGGGCGCCCCUUGCCUGGCUGGGGCUCAGACCGCACUGACACCCCCAAAGCCACGCGCGUGGCCUGGAGGGGCGAGCGGGUCCCGGAGCGAACCGCCGCCGCCGCCAAACCCCGCGCCCAAAUGCCGCCGGGGCACGCGCUAGGCUGGCACACGCGUGUGCCAGCCACACGCAACACGCGUGCCGGCGGCUCCCCGGCAAGCCCACGCGCUUUACCCCCCGGGGAGCUCGCAGGGUGCUGCACGCUAAUGGCCUGGCGCAGGCAGGGAGCAGGCAGGGAGCAGGCAGGGAGCAGGCAGGGAGAAGGCAGGGAGAAGGCAGGACCCGUGGGAAGGCGUGGGGCAGCGACGCACAGCCCUAAAGACACCUGUAGGAAAACCGCCCCCCGAAGCAUCACCGGCCGUCACGGUGACGGCAGCCCGGUGGCCCCGCGGGGGGCAACGGUGGCCACGGGCAGGGGCGUCCCCCCUUUCCUCGAGAGGCGGCGGGUGCUGUGUGCCACGGCGAGGAAGUUUCGCGCUGAGUCAGCAC